RNAcentral lists this ribosomal RNA (253 nucleotides) under uncultured bacterium. Its description in RNAcentral is "partial 16S ribosomal RNA". It matches the Rfam family "Bacterial small subunit ribosomal RNA", at positions 524 to 776 of the family's 1533-position model. The record is from RNAcentral.
UACGGGGGGGGUAAGCGUUGUUCGGAAGUACUGGGCGUAAAGGGCUCGUAGGCGGCCAACUAAGUCGGACGUGAAAUCCCUCAGCUUAACUGGGGAACUGCGUCUGAUACUGGAUGGCUUGGAUUUGGGAGAGGGAUGCGGAAUUCCAGGUGUAGCGGUGAAAUGCGUAGAUAUCUGGAGGAACACCGGUGGCGAAGGCAGCUCGCUGGGACGGUACUGACGCUGAGACGCGAAAGCGUGGGGAGCAAACAGG